Molecule: transfer RNA, 63 nt
Filed under: Trichophya pilicornis
Lineage: Eukaryota; Metazoa; Arthropoda; Insecta; Coleoptera; Staphylinidae
Description: tRNA-Leu
Source: RNAcentral
GUUACUUUGGCAGAUUAGUGCAUUAAAUUUAGAAUUUAAUUAUGUAAAUAUUACAAGUAAUAA